GAUGCUCUCGGCUGGCAGGUGGCGGAGAUUGUACCGGAAGACGCUUCGUGGGUUUGAGGAGUUCAGUGACUGCUAUUGAACCACCAAAAGUCCAUUAUGAAACUGUAUUGCCUGUCAGGGCACCCAACCUUACCAUGCAAUGUGCUCAAAUUCAAAUCAACCACCAUUAUGUUGGACUGCGGACUGGACAUGACUUCUACCCUCAAUUUCCUUCCUUUGCCACUUGUUCAAAGUCCCAGGUUGUCCAAUCUUCCUGGCUGGUCCCUGAAGGAUGGAAAUGCUUUCUUGGACAAGGUAAUAUCUAAGACUACAAACUAAAGCCUAUCUACACCCAGUGGAAAGCUAUCUUUUCAUACCAGAGCCACCGUAUAGUAGUGUGACUGAUGGCUUUUUUUUUUUCCUCUCUGAAAAACCCCAAAAUCUAUGCUAGGGUCUUCAGAACUUGGUAACUACUGUUUUUAAGCAUGUUUUUAGAGAAUGUCACUGUUCUGAUUCA
This 496-nucleotide small RNA is filed under the name Pongo abelii (Sumatran orangutan). Its description in RNAcentral is "retained intron". The record is from RNAcentral. Lineage: Eukaryota; Metazoa; Chordata; Mammalia; Primates; Hominidae.